RNAcentral lists this ribosomal RNA (253 nucleotides) under uncultured bacterium. Its description in RNAcentral is "partial 16S ribosomal RNA". It matches the Rfam family "Bacterial small subunit ribosomal RNA", at positions 524 to 776 of the family's 1533-position model. The record is from RNAcentral.
GACGGAGGAGGCAAGCGUUAUCCGGAAUUAUUGGGCGUAAAGGGCGCGUAGGCGGCUGGUAAAGUGUGGUGUGAAAGCCCAGGGCUCAACCCUGGAAGGGCACUGGAAACUGUGAGACUUGAGCUGCGGAGAGGAGGGGGGAAUUUCCGGUGUAGCGGUGAAAUGCGUAGAUAUCGGGAGGAAUACCGGGGGGGAAGGCGCGCGGCUGGACGGUGACUGACGCUGAGGCGCGAAAGCGUGGGGAGCAAACAGG